UACGUAGGAUGCAAGCGUUGUCCGGAAUUAUUGGGCGUAAAGAGCGCGCAGGCGGUAACUCAAGUCAGAUGUGAAAUAUCCGGGCUCAACCCGGAGGGGUCAUUUGAAACUGAGUAACUAGAGUACAGCAGAGGAUAGCGGAAUUCCCGGUGUAGUGGUGAAAUGCGUAGAUAUCGGGAGGAACACCAGUGGCGAAGGCGGCUAUCUGGGCUGAAACUGACGCUGAGGCGCGAAGGCUAGGGGAGCAAACAGG
RNAcentral lists this ribosomal RNA (253 nucleotides) under uncultured bacterium. RNAcentral describes it as "partial 16S ribosomal RNA". It matches the Rfam family "Bacterial small subunit ribosomal RNA", at positions 524 to 776 of the family's 1533-position model. The record is from RNAcentral.